GUCCUAGCCGUAAACGGUGCAUAUUUGCUGUAAAAGGAAUCGACCCCUUUUGUGGCGUAGCCAACGCGUUAAAUAUGCCGCCUGGGAAGUACGGUCGCAAGAUUAAAACUCAAAGAAAUUGACGGGGGCCUGCACAAGCGGUGGAGUAUGUGGCUUAAUUCGAUGCAACGCGAAGAACCUUACCUGGCCUUGACAUGUAUCUAGUAGAAGGAUGAAAGUCUGACGAGGUAGCAAUACCAGGAUACACAGGUGCUGCAUGGCUGUCGU
RNAcentral lists this ribosomal RNA (267 nucleotides) under uncultured bacterium. RNAcentral describes it as "partial 16S ribosomal RNA". It matches the Rfam family "Bacterial small subunit ribosomal RNA", at positions 793 to 1055 of the family's 1533-position model. The record is from RNAcentral.